RNAcentral lists this ribosomal RNA (465 nucleotides) under uncultured Klebsiella sp. RNAcentral's name for it is "bacterial SSU rRNA". It matches the Rfam family "Bacterial small subunit ribosomal RNA", at positions 338 to 795 of the family's 1533-position model. Lineage: Bacteria; Pseudomonadati; Pseudomonadota; Gammaproteobacteria; Enterobacterales; Enterobacteriaceae. The record is from RNAcentral.
CCUACGGGCGGCUGCAGUGGGGAAUAUUGCACAAUGGGCGCAAGCCUGAUGCAGCCAUGCCGCGUGUGUGAAGAAGGCCUUCGGGUUGUAAAGCACUUUCAGCGGGGAGGAAGGCGGUGAGGUUAAUAACCUCAUCGAUUGACGUUACCCGCUGAAGAAGCACCGGCUAACUCCGUGCCAGCAGCCGCGGUAAUACGGAGGGUGCAAGCGUUAAUCGGGAUUACUGGGCGUAAAGCGCACGCAGGCGGUCUGUCAAGUCGGAUGUGAAAUCCCCGGGCUCAACCUGGGAACUGCAUUCGAAACUGGCAGGCUAGAGUCUUGUAGAGGGGGGUAGAAUUCCAGGUGUAGCGGUGAAAUGCGUAGAGAUCUGGAGGAAUACCGGUGGCGAAGGCGGCCCCCUGGACAAAGACUGACGCUCAGGUGCGAAAGCGUGGGGAGCAAACAGGAUUAGAUACCCCGGUAGUC